GGCAAUGUUGUUUGGCACAAUUAAUGAUUUUCCGGCAUAUGGUAAUCUAUCUGGAUAUAGUAUCAAAGGGAAGUGUGCUUGCCCUAUAUGUGAAGAUAAUACAGAUUGGAUGCGAUUGGAACAUGGUAAGAAAAAUGUAUUUCUUGGGCAUCGUAGAUUCUUACCUUCAAAGCACCGUUAUCGAGGAUGGAGAAAAGCAUUUAAUGGGA
This 209-nucleotide long non-coding RNA is filed under the name Vigna radiata. Its description in RNAcentral is "long non-coding RNA (VRAD_LNC017155)". The record is from RNAcentral. Lineage: Eukaryota; Viridiplantae; Streptophyta; Magnoliopsida; Fabales; Fabaceae.